CUUAAUUCGCCAUACCCACUUCCAAUUUUCCCUUUUUCUCUGAGAAUCUUUUGUGAAAGUUUCAAUUUUAUAAUGCUUUUCAUCUCACCCUUAUUGCAGAAUUAGGGUCUUUUAAGACUGUAUUAAGUGUCCCAUAUUCGGAAACCUGAAAUUUUCAAUUGGGGUGGUUUUUUAUGGGUCCAAAUCGAUAAGGAGUUUUGCCCAGAAAUGUGUUUUAGCAGAAGAGAGUGGUAGUUACUUCAAAUUUGUAACUUUUGGUUUGCGCUUUGUUUGUUUUGUUUUGCAUCUUUUGGUUGGCGAUUGUGAAGUGUCAAAUUUGUCAUUGUUUCCUGCAAUUUAGAUUUGGACCAAGAAUAAGUUGAAGCCUGUUAACCUUAUUGUUGUUAAUCGUGUUGGUAUGCCUUGUUGGUCAAUUACCCUGUUGCUAAAACUUUUGAGUUAAAUUUGUAGUUUAAAUCCAUGUGUUGAAUCCUUGGCUUUUAAGAGGUCUGGUUUGAAUCUCACCACUUAUUUAUUCCCUUUGUAUUGAAUCGAUGUGGGAGAGAAACAGGGAAUCCAUGGAGGCUAGUGUUAAGGCAAUUAUCACAACUAUUAAGCUACUUCAUUUAAUAUACAUUGUUGAUCCAUUAUCUAAUAGCAUAAGCUCUAGGAUUAAGUGGUUAUUAACAUUUACUAAGGUUGGAAUUCCUAUCUUAUCUUGGUAAGGUAGAUGACUUCUUCUCUCAAUUUAUGGGGCUAGGGGAAGCACCCAACAACUAAGGUAAAUGGUUUCUCAACUCCCAAAAUUGCUAAGUUAAUUUAUUAAUGCAAGAAACGCUUCCCCUUCUACCAACAGGUUAAGAGGGUAUUUCCUUCACUUACUCUGCUUCUUGUUUCCAUGUUUGGGCUAUAAGCAAGAAGAAAGCUUAAGCUUAAGGUUCAUGUUGUAUAUAUAUGCUUUACAUAGUUUGAUUGUACACCAAGUGUUUGUUUGCUUCGGUUUGUAGUCUAUGAUAUAGGUUUCAUACUUAGUCGCCUACCAUUUAUUUAUUUUUAUUGCAAUUGUCAUAAUUACCAUAUAUUCUUUUUGUUUUCUGCUUUGUAAAUUGAUUUUUGAGAUUGACAUGUCAUUUUAAAAUGUACUUUUAUAAUAUGCUGUGUUUAUUACAUAUUCAGACUGUGGUCAAUGGUGCGUUCCUUUUUUCUGCAAUGUGCUCUCUUUAAAGUUAGUGAAUUUGUUGCAGUCUGAACAUAAUUUAACCCAUAGGACAUGUAUUGCAGAAAACACCUACAUUCCACAGUUUAUUGAAACAAUAGCAACACAUUACCUGUGCGGAGCACUUCAAGAGGUCACUGUAGCUACAAUUUUGAGCUGAUAACAUCAAACGUGCAGCCCUUAAAUGCAGCUUCUUUGUUGCCUGGUAGUUGCCAUUUCGCUAAUUUGAAGCUACCCAUUGAUCAUUUUGACUAGGAUUAUUGUUGAGAAAUAAAGGUUGUUGGAUAUUGGCUCAAAACAAUGAUCAAUUAGUCAACCGAUGAUGAAGUCAAUUGCAAUGUUGAUGUAUAUAACUUGACAUGUAAAAGAGAAAAUAAAAAAUAAAAAAAUUGUACAAUUACAGUUCAAUGGCAAGAAAUGAUAUGGUCCUUCAAUGGAUGUGGGGGACUUUUCAGAUCA
Long non-coding RNA from Vitis riparia (riverbank grape), 1654 nucleotides. RefSeq lists it as uncharacterized. The transcript has 3 exons. NCBI's taxonomy places the organism in Eukaryota, Viridiplantae, Streptophyta, Magnoliopsida, Vitales, Vitaceae. The record is from RefSeq and is a predicted model, not a curated record.